AGUGAACGCUGGCGGUAGGCCUAACACAUGCAAGUCGAACGGCAGCACAGUAAGAGCUUGCUCUUACGGGUGGCGAGUGGCGGACGGGUGAGGAAUACAUCGGAACCUACUUUUUCGUGGGGGAUAACGUAGGGAAACUUACGCUAAUACCGCAUACGACCUACGGGUGAAAGCAGUGGAUCUUCGCACCUUGCGCGAUUGAAUGCGCCGAUGUCGGAUUAGCUAGUUGGCGGGGUAAAGGCCCACCAAGGCGACGAUACGUAGCUGGACUGAGAGGAUGAUCGGCCACACUGGAACUGAGACACGGUCCAGACUCCUACGGGAGGCAGCAGUGGGGAAUAUUGGACAAUGGGCGCAAGCCUGAUCCAGCCAUCCCGCGUGGGUGACGAAGGCCUUCGGGUUGUAAAGCCCUUUUGUUGGGAAAGAAAAGCAGCAGGUUAAUACCCCGCUGUUCUGACGGUACCCAAAGAAUAAGCACCGGCUAACUUCGUG
RNAcentral lists this ribosomal RNA (492 nucleotides) under uncultured bacterium. RNAcentral's name for it is "partial 16S ribosomal RNA". It matches the Rfam family "Bacterial small subunit ribosomal RNA", at positions 29 to 507 of the family's 1533-position model. The record is from RNAcentral.